RNAcentral lists this non-coding RNA (44 nucleotides) under Trypanosoma brucei brucei. The record is from RNAcentral. Lineage: Eukaryota; Euglenozoa; Kinetoplastea; Trypanosomatida; Trypanosomatidae.
AUAAUCAUAACAGAGCAUAGAAUACAGUUUAUAGUGAUUAAUUU